Molecule: non-coding RNA, 86 nt
Organism: Sphaerobolus stellatus SS14
Lineage: Eukaryota; Fungi; Basidiomycota; Agaricomycetes; Geastrales; Sphaerobolaceae
Source: the annotation of a GenBank genome assembly
GGCCUGGUGGUCUAGUAGUAUGAUUCCUUCUUAGGGUUCAUAGAACAAUUUGGAGGAGGUCCCGGGUUCAAUUCCCGGCUAGGCCC